GUAACUCUUCAACCCUUUGAAGAAUUUUUGAUGAAACUUCAGACAAAUGUUUACCACAUCAAGAUGACGUGCAGAACGCAUGUUCCGCAUGGCUGGCUCCAAGGUCAAGGUCACAGUGACAUUAACAUUGAAAAUCCUGUUUACAUGAUUUAACUGUCAAACGAAAUUGUGUCCGCUCUGUAACUCUUCAACCCUUUGAAGAAUUUUGAUGAAACUUCAGACAAAUGUUUACCACAUCAAGAUGACGUGCAGAACGCAUGUUCCGCAUGGCUGGCUCCAAGGUCAAGGUCACAGUGACAUUAACAUUGAAAAUCCUGUCCGCUCUGUAACUCUUCAACCCUUUGAAGAAUUUUGAUGAAACUUCAGACAAAUGUUUACCACAUCAAGAUGACGUGCAGAACGCAUGUUCCGCAUGGCUGGCUCCAAGGUCAAGGUCACAGUGACAUUAACAUUGAAAAUCCUGUCCGCUCUGUAACUCUUCAACCCUUUGAAAGAAUUUUGAUGAAACUUCAGACAAAUGUUUACCACAUCAAGAUGACGUGCAGAACGCAUGUUUCCGCAUGGCUGGCUCCAAGGUCAAGGUCACAGUGACAUUAACAUUGAAAAUCCUGUUUACAUGAUUUUAACUGUCAAACGAAAUUGUGUCCGCUCUGUAACUCUUCAACCCUUUGAAGAAUUUUGAUGAAACUUCAGACAAAUGUUUACCACAUCAAGAUGACGUGCAGAACGCAUGUUCCGCAUGGCUGGCUCCAAGGUCAAGGUCACAGUGACAUUAACAUUGAAAAUCCUGUCCGCUCUGUAACUCUUCAACCCUUUGAAGAAUUUUGAUGAAACUUCAGACAAAUGUUUACCACAUCAAGAUGACGUGCAGAACGCAUGUUCCGCAUGGCUGGCUCCAAGGUCAAGGUCACAGUGACAUUAACAUUGAAAAUCCUGUUUACAUGAUUUUAAACUUGAUUUGGCAGUCAAAGGUCAUAUCAUCUUUGGAGGUAAUUUAAAAAAGAUAUUAUAUAUUAUUUCAUGUCUACUUUGUAACUUGUUUUUUAUUAUACAGAAUUAUCAAUAUAAUUAUAGUGAACAAAUUCUUCUGUGCUGAACUCGUCCUACAUUUCUCAACGGAUUUUGUUCAAAACUUUCACAGAAGCUUUGUCAUCAAGCACCCUGGCACAUAUUGUCGGGGUUUUGUGAUUGGAUAGUUUUUUGACCUAAUUAUGGCCCUUUGUUUUUUUCCUUAUACAUAAUAUUAUAGUGAACACUUCUUCAGUGGCAAUUCCUCCUACAUUAUUCAUGUUUUACAUUGCACAUAGUUACAUUGUUUGUUGCUUGUAUUUGUAUUUCAAAUACAACAUAUUUAUCUACAAUGGUGAUAAUUGAAAACCUGGUUUCAUGGCAUUGCCAUGUUUCUUGUUAGAAAUUGCGUCAAUUUUUUCUUCUAUUUUUAGAAAUUGCGUCAUUGUUUCUAUUUUUAGUAAUUGCGUCAUUUUUUUCUAUUUUUAGAAAUUGCGUCAUUGUUUCUAUUUUUAGAAAUUGCGUCAUUUUUUUUUCUAUUUUUAGAAAUUGCGUCAUUGUUUCUAUUUUUAGAAAUUGAGUCAUUUUUUUCUAUUUUUAGAAAUUGCGUCAUUUUUUCUAUUUUUAGAAAUUGCGUCAUUGUUGCUAUUUUUAGAAAUUGCGUCAUUGUUUCUAUUUUUAGAAAUUGCGUCAUUUUUUUUUCUAUUUUUAGAAAUUGCGUCAUUGUUUCUAUUUUUAGAAAUUGCGUCAUUUUUUUUCUAUUUUUAGAAAUUGUGUCAUUUUUUCUAUUUUUAGAAAUUGCGUCAUUGUUGCUAUUUUUAGAAAUUGCGUCAUUGUUGCUAUUUUUAGAAAUUGCGUACUGUUGCUAUUUUUAGAAAUAUGCUUAAUGUUUCUAUUCAUAUAUAUACAAAAUAUAUAAACAAAACUAAUGUGACAAGACAGACCAACUAAAUUUAUAAAAAGGAAACAUCAAUAUAUGUUCAAACCUUUCUAUGUUUGCGUUUAGAAAAAGUAAAAAGUCGAGCGUUGCCCCCGCCCGGCGGUGGCUCUUGUUUU
This is a long non-coding RNA of Ruditapes philippinarum (Manila clam), 2064 nucleotides long. RefSeq lists it as uncharacterized. NCBI's taxonomy places the organism in Eukaryota, Metazoa, Mollusca, Bivalvia, Venerida, Veneridae. The record is from RefSeq and is a predicted model, not a curated record. The transcript is spliced from 3 exons.